AUUGUACGGAGGCAGCGCUGAUGGAAGCGUUCUAAGAGUCACAAGUGGUGGCGGUAAAUGACCCAUGAUUCAGACCCAUAUAAAAGAGCAGACAGUACAAUGGCUCUGUAAACACUGAUCUUUGUACUUUUCUUCAGGUGUUUAUUACACCAAACUCUUUUAUGGAGUUUUCUGAAAGCUCUAUAUGCCUUUGCUAACCCAUUAUCUAUCUCUCCGUUAAUCUUACCGUCCGAGAGGAGAUGAUACCGGAGAUAGGAAGA
This is a long non-coding RNA of Chiroxiphia lanceolata (lance-tailed manakin), 260 nucleotides long. RefSeq lists it as uncharacterized. NCBI's taxonomy places the organism in Eukaryota, Metazoa, Chordata, Aves, Passeriformes, Pipridae. The record is from RefSeq and is a predicted model, not a curated record. The transcript has 3 exons.